This 519-nucleotide ribosomal RNA is filed under the name uncultured bacterium. Its description in RNAcentral is "bacterial SSU rRNA". It matches the Rfam family "Bacterial small subunit ribosomal RNA", at positions 14 to 518 of the family's 1533-position model. The record is from RNAcentral.
CGAUUCUGGCUCAGGAUGAACGCUAGCUACAGGCUUAACACAUGCAAGGUCGUGGGGCAGCAUGGAGGUUGCUUGCAACUUCUGAUGGCCGACCGGCGCGACGGGUGAGUAACGCGUAUCCAACCUGGCCCUUAGGUAGGGAUAGCCCGGCGAAAGUCGGAUUAAUACCCUAUGUUCUCUUUGACGGCAUCUGACGAGAAGCAAAGAUUCAUCGCUAAGGGAUGGGGAUGCGUCUGAUUAGGUAGUAGGCGGGGUAACGGCCCACCUAAGCCGACGAUCAGUAGGGGUUCUGAGAGGAAGGUCCCCCACAUUGGUACUGAGACACGGACCAAACUCCUACGGGAGGCAGCAGUGAGGAAUAUUGGUCAAUGGGCGCGAGCCUGAACCAGCCAAGUAGCGUGCAGGAAAGACUGCCCUAUGGGUUGUAAACUGCUUUUAUGCGGGGAUAAAGUGCAGCACGUGUGCUGUUUUGUAGGUACCGCAUGAAUAAGGACCGGCUAAUUCCGUGCCAGCCGCCGC